GAUGAACGCUAGCGACAGGCUUAACACAUGCAAGUCGAGGGGCAGCGAGGGAGUGCUUGCACUUCUGUCGGCGACCGGCGCACGGGUGAGUAACACGUAUGCAACCUGCCCUUGUCAGGGGGAUAAGCGAGGGAAACCUCGUCUAAUACCGCAUAUAUGAUUUUGAGGCAUCUCAUAAUCAGGAAAGAAUUAUCGGACAAGGAUGGGCAUGCGGGACAUUAGGUAGUUGGGGGUGUAACGGACCACCAAGCCGACGAUGUCUAGGGGUUCUGAGAGGAAGGUCCCCCACACUGGUACUGAGACACGGACCAGACUCCUACGGGAGGCAGCAGUGGGGAAUAUUGGGCAAUGGGGGAAACCCUGACCCAGCAACGCCGCGUGAAGGAAGAAGGCUUUCGGGUUGUAAACUUCUUUUAGCAGGGACGAAGGACGUGACGGUACCUGCAGAAAAAGCAACGGCUAACUACGUG
Molecule: ribosomal RNA, 470 nt
Filed under: uncultured bacterium
Lineage: Bacteria
Description: bacterial SSU rRNA
Rfam family: Bacterial small subunit ribosomal RNA
Source: RNAcentral